AUGAUCACUCGGGCAGCACAUAUUACUUACACUGGAAUGAUACAGAGAAAAUCGAUUAGUAUGGCCCCUGUGCAAGGAUAACACGCAGAUUCGUGAAGUGAUUUACACUGGA
Small nuclear RNA from Fukomys damarensis (Damara mole-rat), 112 nucleotides. The record is from Ensembl. Lineage: Eukaryota; Metazoa; Chordata; Mammalia; Rodentia; Bathyergidae.